GCUCAGUUGCUAAAGCACUCCACUGCAAAUGGAGAGGUCCCUGGUUCGAUACCAGG
RNAcentral lists this transfer RNA (56 nucleotides) under Ixodes scapularis (black-legged tick). It matches the Rfam family "tRNA", at positions 10 to 63 of the family's 71-position model. From Rfam's summary of the family: Transfer RNA (tRNA) molecules are approximately 80 nucleotides in length. Their secondary structure includes four short double-helical elements and three loops (D, anti-codon, and T loops). The record is from Rfam by way of RNAcentral. Lineage: Eukaryota; Metazoa; Arthropoda; Arachnida; Ixodida; Ixodidae.